Molecule: unclassified non-coding RNA, 208 nt
Filed under: Hevea brasiliensis (rubber tree)
Lineage: Eukaryota; Viridiplantae; Streptophyta; Magnoliopsida; Malpighiales; Euphorbiaceae
Source: RNAcentral
AGUGAGUUGGAUGAGUCAGGGUCGGAGGACGACGAUGAUGUAGAAACUGAAGAAUCUAACUACACGACUGAUACUGAUGAAGGUGAUCUUGAUGAUAUUUAUGACGACGAAACACCUGAAUUGCCGGUGGAAAAUAUUCCAGAAAUUGACAAGGAAACGCACAGACUCGCUGUUGUUAACUUGGAUUGGAGGCACGUGAAGGCUGUUG